RNAcentral lists this ribosomal RNA (456 nucleotides) under Calyptrophora distolos. RNAcentral describes it as "partial large subunit ribosomal RNA". It matches the Rfam family "Bacterial large subunit ribosomal RNA", at positions 1933 to 2477 of the family's 2925-position model. Lineage: Eukaryota; Metazoa; Cnidaria; Anthozoa; Scleralcyonacea; Primnoidae. The record is from RNAcentral.
GCGGUAUCCUGACCGUGCUAAGGUAGCACAAUAAAUAGCCAAUUAAUUGUUGGCGGGUAUGAAUGGAACCACGAGGGUCUUACUGUCUCAAGAGGAAAGCCGAUGAAAUUAUAAUUGUAGUGAAGAUACUACAUAAACAUUGUAAGACGAAAAGACCCUAUCGAGCUUUACUGGAUACCGAUAGCGUUAAUUUAGAAUGAUCUAUACUAAGUAUCCUAAUUCUAAGUUAAUAAUUUUUGUUGGUAGGACAGUUUAGUUGGGGCGACUACCUUUGAAUAAGAAACGAAGGCGAGCUUAUGGUAUUAUUAAAAUCUCAUUAGCCUCACAGUGAGGGGGACACCCCUAGCUGGCACAAGGAACCACGUAUACGUAAUGGGCUCCUAUGUGGGCGAUAGUGACCCGAUAUGAUUAUCCAAAAUAAAUAUCGAAAGCGGAUAAAAGCUACCGUAGGGAUAA